RNAcentral lists this ribosomal RNA (501 nucleotides) under Vibrio sp. WH250. Its description in RNAcentral is "bacterial SSU rRNA". It matches the Rfam family "Bacterial small subunit ribosomal RNA", at positions 89 to 586 of the family's 1533-position model. Lineage: Bacteria; Pseudomonadati; Pseudomonadota; Gammaproteobacteria; Vibrionales; Vibrionaceae. The record is from RNAcentral.
CGUCGAGCGGCGGACGGGUGAGUAAUGCCUAGGAAAUUGCCUUGAUGUGGGGGAUAACCAUUGGAAACGAUGGCUAAUACCGCAUAAUGCCUACGGGCCAAAGAGGGGGACCUUCGGGCCUCUCGCGUCAAGAUAUGCCUAGGUGGGAUUAGCUAGUUGGUGAGGUAAUGGCUCACCAAGGCGACGAUCCCUAGCUGGUCUGAGAGGAUGAUCAGCCACACUGGAACUGAGACACGGUCCAGACUCCUACGGGAGGCAGCAGUGGGGAAUAUUGCACAAUGGGCGAAAGCCUGAUGCAGCCAUGCCGCGUGUAUGAAGAAGGCCUUCGGGUUGUAAAGUACUUUCAGUUGUGAGGAAGGGGGUGUCGUUAAUAGCGGCAUCUCUUGACGUUAGCAACAGAAGAAGCACCGGCUAACUCCGUGCCAGCAGCCGCGGUAAUACGGAGGGUGCGAGCGUUAAUCGGAAUUACUGGGCGUAAAGCGCAUGCAGGUGGUUCAUUAA